Long non-coding RNA from Loxodonta africana (African savanna elephant), 1518 nucleotides. RefSeq lists it as uncharacterized. The record is from RefSeq and is a predicted model, not a curated record. The transcript is spliced from 3 exons. Lineage: Eukaryota; Metazoa; Chordata; Mammalia; Proboscidea; Elephantidae.
CAUGAUAAUGGCAGGGGUGAGGAAAAGCACAUAAUCAUUAAUAGGAAUUGGGCUGAUUGAAUUCUUUUUUUAUUGGGAUUGAGCUUAGAAUCACUAAGAGAACAAAGUGAUUAGCAGUGGGAGCUAAAAGCACUGUGCCUAUAAGGUGGUCAGUCAUAUUUCCAUGAAAACGGUUUGUUUGCUAAAGGUGAAUUGCAUGCCUACCUGAGCAAUGCGCUGUAUCUUGUCAAUGCUUCCUAUCAUGGACUUGGGGAAGGUAUGAAAUAAAGGUAGGAAAGGUGAAUAAUCAGUAGACCGAGCUGCAGAAACUGUCAUAUCAGAAAGGAUUAAAGAGCCAUAAAAAUGGAGCCAAACAGACAGAUCCAGGACCAAUGCUCAGAAUGCUCAGUAGUUACCUAGUUAAUUAAUAUUCACCAAUCAAUCCAUUACGUGUUGGGCUGUGGAGUAAGGUUCUGGGGAUAAAAAAAAAAAAAAAGGUUCUGGGCAGUAAAUACAGCAGUAAAUAAAAGUCACUAUAUUUCCCUCACAGGAUUUGCAGUCUAGAAAACAGCUGGAGUUAUCAGGAGAAAAGGCACAGCCAGUCAUGAGGACAAAUUGACGCAUGGUGACCUCUUAGAUGAGCCUCAACAGGAGAACGUGCUGGUCUGGGGGAGUGGAGGUAAGAAGAAAGAACUGAUGGCCAAGGCAGUCAGCUUAGCAGACAGAUAGAGGGGCAAGUAUAGGUUUAUUUCAACUCCAGGAGUUCACCAAGGACUGGGAAAAAAGGACAUGGUAUUCCCCCUAAUGGUGAGCAGUGUUGAUCCAGUUAGGAUUAUUGCUUUCUUCAUCUCUAUAAUUUUAUAAAACACGAAAGGAAGAAUAAAGCUGAAACAGGGAGCAGUGACUGACCCUAUAAAAUAGAGGCUUUCUUUUAAAAUUAAAGUGUGACUUUAUUCUCUAAUCGCUGGCAGCUUAACUUUUUACAUUGCUGCCAAAGAACUGCCUUCUCUCAUUUUCGGCUGUUUCCCACCUAGAGCUUUUACAGACCAGCUGAUCAGAGAGAGGAGCUAACAUGUGGCUUGUUAGAGCAGUGGGUCUGUGCAUUGAAAUCACCUGGGAAGGUUUAACAAUCCUGCUGUUGGGUUUUCCAUUCAGAGAUUCUGAUUUUAUUGGUCUGAUGCACAGCUUGGCCGUGGGGACUUUUUAAAAGCUCCUUUGGCCUUUCUAAUAUGCAGACGAGGUUGAGAACCAAUGAGUAACUAAGCUGGCUCUGGGAGUCUGCUGUCCGCACGUUGGAAACCUUCAGAAUUAAUAAGGUGGAAAGAGAUCGAUCAGCCACUCCUGUUACUUUCCUUUCACACAUUUUCUUCCUUUUUUUUUGGUUAAAGGCCUCAAAACGAUCCAAUGAGAAAGCUAGUAGGCCUUAAAAAAGAGUACUUCUGGGAAAUACAGCUUUCUGAGACUGUCUAGGAGACAUCAUGGACCCUCAGGAGGAAUGGCCCUGAUGGCAGGUAACAGCCGGGGCCCUUUCAUUGCUUA